GAUUCGAACGUGUUCGAGCCUGUAUCACACAACGGCGGUCGCUAUAACGUGUAAUUAGGAUGGGAAGAACACCAAGAAAUGAAAAUAGUCGAGACACCUGACGCGAUAACGAUAAAAAAAAGUGUCGCGAUAUUAUUCUUUGCGUGUAGAAUUACUUAACUCGGCCGCAUAAUCGUCCGCUUGACCUUGAUCUUCGCGACGCGUCACAACACUUUUUCGUGAGGCACGGGAAAGAUGGCCGUUAAAAUUUUAGCACAGACACCACACAGAACGCGAACCAUGGCGGAUUAAUUUGCAAUCAUGUUAAAAAAAAGCGUUCGCGGGAGCGAGUGUUUAUUUGUUUCGAGACGUAGGUAUAUUUUUAGAGAUAAUUCGGUGCCAUUAAGUACAUGCGUUACGACGCGGUCGUAUUGUAAUCAGUAGCGUAGAAGCAGCGCGACUAAAAAGUUAUCGUCGAUUUUCGGAAAAAAUCCGCUUUUGUUUAUCGCGGGCUUUGUUUAACGUAGUUUGGCGUGCGCCUAUCGUCACGGCCGAUAUCUUUGAGUUGUCGACGAAGGUCUAGUUUAGAUUCGUCAUGUGGAGUUGUACACGGUGACACAAGUUAUAUGGACAAAUUGGAAGGCAUUUAAGUAAAAUUUUUACACCGACAAUUUCUUCAUGGAUUAAUUGCUGAAGUUGGUUAACGAACAUAUUUGACGAGUGUAAUACCCCACUUUGAUAUCGAAUUCUCGUCUAACAAAUUCGCGAAGUUCUUCGUCAAUUUUUGCGUCAAUUCGUCAAAAAGAAAGGUUAUGUUACUGUAAAUUAAUAAACGAGUACCUCUGAAUUGUAUCAAAGACUUUACGUAACUUUGCUUAGUAAGUGGGGCUGGUGCAGUUGAACUAAACCUUCUUUAUAUAAUGCUUCUGGACAGACGAAAUCCAGUGAGAGCAAGUUUCACGCAUCUGCGCUAAAUUCCAAGCACGCAAAUGAAAAAAGCAGAAUAAAAUACAAACUUCAUGGAUGCUUUUUUGCAAUUUUAAAGUUAAACAAUAUAAUCAUUUGUAAUUUGAAGAACUGUGGGUGCCGAUACUUAGAAGACGAAUCUUGGAUAUUAUUUACCAAGCCCGGGAAGAGGAAUUGAAGAUGGAUACCGAUCUAUGCAAAUAUAAUGAUGUGUGUGUGUGUGUGUUGUAAAUAAAAAAGAACUGGAAAGUUGGGCCAUUUAUAUCUUUUUAAUUUUAUACAAAAGAAACACCACCUUUUGAUAUUGAAAUAAAACCUACUCAAAAAAAAAUACAGUUUUUUUGUUUUGUAAAGAAUUAAAAACUGUUAAUUCUGGGGUUCUUUUAAAUAAUAAGAACUUCUAUAUAUCAAUAGUGUUAGUCCAUUUAUUUAUCAAAGCUUUCAUUUGACAUCCUCAAUAACUAUUUAAACUGUUCAGGGUCCUUUUUAAACUCUUGUUUCAUCAAUUUAUCUUCCAACCAAGACCGGACCCACCUCCUUUUUUUGAUGUAAGUUAGCAAAAAAAAUAGGUUAUAUAACAGUUUGUAAUUUGUAAAACUGUGGGUGCCGACACUUAGAAGACUAAUCUUGGAUAUUAUUUACCAAGCCCGGGAAGAGGAGUUGACCUAUGCAAAUGUAAUGGUGUAUGUGUGUGGUGUAAAUAAAAAAGAACUGGAAAG
Cylas formicarius (sweet potato weevil) is the source of this 1664-nucleotide long non-coding RNA. RefSeq lists it as uncharacterized. The transcript is spliced from 3 exons. Lineage: Eukaryota; Metazoa; Arthropoda; Insecta; Coleoptera; Brentidae. The record is from RefSeq and is a predicted model, not a curated record.